UUCGUAGGCGGUGUGGCAAGUCGGGAGUGAAAUCUCUGGGCUUAACUCAGAGACUGCUUCCGAAACUGCUGUGCUUGAGUGUGGGAGAGGCGCGUGGAAUUGCAGGUGUAGCGGUGAAAUGCGUAGAUAUCUGCAGGAACACCCGUGGCGAAAGCGGCGCGCUGGACCACUACUGACGCUGAGGAACGAAAGCUAGGGGAGCAAACAGGAUUAGAUACCCUGGUAGUCCUAGCCCUAAACGAUCAGGACUUGGGGUGCCGCACGUUCGUGCGUCGUCCCGGAGCUAACGCGUUAAGUCCUGCACCUGGGGAGUACGGUCGCAAGACUGAA
Molecule: ribosomal RNA, 330 nt
Filed under: uncultured bacterium
Lineage: Bacteria
Description: bacterial SSU rRNA
Rfam family: Bacterial small subunit ribosomal RNA
Source: RNAcentral